Molecule: ribosomal RNA, 415 nt
Filed under: uncultured bacterium
Lineage: Bacteria
Description: bacterial SSU rRNA
Rfam family: Bacterial small subunit ribosomal RNA
Source: RNAcentral
AACGAACGCUGGCGGCAUGCCUAACACAUGCAAGUCGAACGAGACCUUCGGGUCUAGUGGCGCACGGGUGCGUAACGCGUGGGAAUCUGCCCUUCGGUUCGGAAUAACAGUUAGAAAUGACUGCUAAUACCGGAUAAUGACGUAAGUCUAAAGAUUUAUCGCCGAGGGAUGAGCCCGCGUAGGAUUAGCUUGUUGGUGGGGUAAUGGCCCACCAAGGCGACGAUCCUUAGCUGGCUGAGAGGAUGAUCAGCCACACUGGGACUGAGACACGGCCCAGACUCCUACGGGAGGCAGCAGUGGGGAAUAUUGGACAAUGGGCGAAAGCCUGAUCCAGCAAUGCCGCGUGAGUGAUGAAGCCUUAGGGUUGUAAAGCUCUUUACCAGGGAUGAUAAUGACAGUACCUGGAGAAUAAGAC